This 116-nucleotide small nucleolar RNA is filed under the name Rhinolophus ferrumequinum (greater horseshoe bat). RNAcentral's name for it is "Small nucleolar RNA U13 (ENSRFEG00010004188.1)". It matches the Rfam family "Small nucleolar RNA U13". Lineage: Eukaryota; Metazoa; Chordata; Mammalia; Chiroptera; Rhinolophidae. The record is from Rfam by way of RNAcentral.
AUCCUUCUGUGGUUCCUAAGCGUGAUGGUUGGGUUUUCACGCUAUUGUGUGCAAUGUUCCUCCCUCAACACUUGUUAUUAUAACAAUAACAAUGUCAGCACAUUACCCCUUUGACA